Molecule: transfer RNA, 73 nt
Filed under: Candidatus Iainarchaeum sp.
Lineage: Archaea; Nanobdellati; Candidatus Iainarchaeota; Candidatus Iainarchaeia; Candidatus Iainarchaeales; Candidatus Iainarchaeaceae
Description: tRNA-Ala
Rfam family: tRNA
About the family: Transfer RNA (tRNA) molecules are approximately 80 nucleotides in length. Their secondary structure includes four short double-helical elements and three loops (D, anti-codon, and T loops).
Source: RNAcentral
GGGCUCAUAGCUCAGUUGGUAGAGCGCUACCCUUGCACGGUAGAGGCCGUGGGUUCGAAUCCCGCUGAGUCCA